This 464-nucleotide ribosomal RNA is filed under the name uncultured bacterium. RNAcentral describes it as "partial 16S ribosomal RNA". It matches the Rfam family "Bacterial small subunit ribosomal RNA", at positions 339 to 795 of the family's 1533-position model. The record is from RNAcentral.
CUACGGGAGGCUCCAGUGGGGAAUAUUGGACAAUGGGGGAAACCCUGAUCCAGCAAUGCCGCGUGUGUGAAGAAGGCCCGCGGGUUGUAAAGCACUUUCGGUUGGGAGGACUGCUUCUAGCACUAAUAUUGUUGGAAGUUGACGUUACCUUCAGAAGAGGCACCGGCUAACUCCGUGCCAGCAGCCGCGGUAAUACGGAGGGUGCAAGCGUCAAUCGGAAUUACUGGGCGUAAAGCGCGCGUAGGCGGCUAGAUCAGUCGGGUGUGAAAGCCCCGGGCUUAACCUGGGAACUGCAUCCGAUACUGUCUAGCUUGAGUACAGGAGAGGAGAGUGGAAUUCCACAUGUAGCGGUGAAAUGCGUAGAUAUGUGGAGGAACACCAAUGGCGAAGGCAGCUCUCUGGCCUGAUACUGACGCUGAGGUGCGAAAGCGUGGGGAGCAAACAGGAUUGAUACCCUGGUAGUC